UACGUAGGGUGCAAGCGUUAAUCGGAAAUACUGGGCGUAAAGCGUGCGCAGGCGGUGAUGCAAGACAGAUGUGAAAUCCCCGGGCUUAACCUGGGAACUGCAUUUGUGACUGCAUCGCUGGAGAGCGGCAGAGGGGGAUGGAAUUCCGCGUGUAGCAGUGAAAUGCGUAGAUAUGCGGAGGAACACCGAUGGCGAAGGCAAUCCCCUGGGCCUGCACUGACGCGCAUGCACGAACGCGUGGGGAGCAAACAGG
RNAcentral lists this ribosomal RNA (253 nucleotides) under uncultured bacterium. Its description in RNAcentral is "partial 16S ribosomal RNA". It matches the Rfam family "Bacterial small subunit ribosomal RNA", at positions 524 to 776 of the family's 1533-position model. The record is from RNAcentral.